RNAcentral lists this ribosomal RNA (495 nucleotides) under uncultured bacterium. Its description in RNAcentral is "partial 16S ribosomal RNA". It matches the Rfam family "Bacterial small subunit ribosomal RNA", at positions 28 to 507 of the family's 1533-position model. The record is from RNAcentral.
GACGAACGCUGGCGGCGUGCCUAAUACAUGCAAGUAGAACGCUGAAGGAGGAGCUUGCUUCUCUGGAUGAGUUGCGAACGGGUGAGUAACGCGUAGGUAACCUGCCUGGUAGCGGGGGAUAACUAUUGGAAACGAUAGCUAAUACCGCAUAAGAGUAGAUGUCGCAUGACAUUUGCUUAAAAGGUGCAAUUGCAUCACUACCAGAUGGACCUGCGUUGUAUUAGCUAGUUGGUGAGGUAACGGCUCACCAAGGCAACGAUACAUAGCCGACCUGAGAGGGUGAUCGGCCACACUGGGACUGAGACACGGCCCAGACUCCUACGGGAGGCAGCAGUAGGGAAUCUUCGGCAAUGGACGGAAGUCUGACCGAGCAACGCCGCGUGAGUGAAGAAGGUUUUCGGAUCGUAAAGCUCUGUUGUAAGAGAAGAACGAGUGUGAGAGUGGAAAGUUCACACUGUGACGGUAUCUUACCAGAAGGGGACGGCUAACUACGUG